This 1466-nucleotide ribosomal RNA is filed under the name Lacticaseibacillus paracasei. RNAcentral's name for it is "bacterial SSU rRNA". It matches the Rfam family "Bacterial small subunit ribosomal RNA". The record is from RNAcentral. Lineage: Bacteria; Bacillati; Bacillota; Bacilli; Lactobacillales; Lactobacillaceae.
CCUUUAAUACCAUGCAAGUCGAACGAGUUCUCGUUGAUGAUCGGUGCUUGCACCGAGAUUCAACAUGGAACGAGUGGCGGACGGGUGAGUAACACGUGGGUAACCUGCCCUUAAGUGGGGGAUAACAUUUGGAAACAGAUGCUAAUACCGCAUAGAUCCAAGAACCGCAUGGUUCUUGGCUGAAAGAUGGCGUAAGCUAUCGCUUUUGGAUGGACCCGCGGCGUAUUAGCUAGUUGGUGAGGUAAUGGCUCACCAAGGCGAUGAUACGUAGCCGAACUGAGAGGUUGAUCGGCCACAUUGGGACUGAGACACGGCCCAAACUCCUACGGGAGGCAGCAGUAGGGAAUCUUCCACAAUGGACGCAAGUCUGAUGGAGCAACGCCGCGUGAGUGAAGAAGGCUUUCGGGUCGUAAAACUCUGUUGUUGGAGAAGAAUGGUCGGCAGAGUAACUGUUGUCGGCGUGACGGUAUCCAACCAGAAAGCCACGGCUAACUACGUGCCAGCAGCCGCGGUAAUACGUAGGUGGCAAGCGUUAUCCGGAUUUAUUGGGCGUAAAGCGAGCGCAGGCGGUUUUUUAAGUCUGAUGUGAAAGCCCUCGGCUUAACCGAGGAAGCGCAUCGGAAACUGGGAAACUUGAGUGCAGAAGAGGACAGUGGAACUCCAUGUGUAGCGGUGAAAUGCGUAGAUAUAUGGAAGAACACCAGUGGCGAAGGCGGCUGUCUGGUCUGUAACUGACGCUGAGGCUCGAAAGCAUGGGUAGCGAACAGGAUUAGAUACCCUGGUAGUCCAUGCCGUAAACGAUGAAUGCUAGGUGUUGGAGGGUUUCCGCCCUUCAGUGCCGCAGCUAACGCAUUAAGCAUUCCGCCUGGGGAGUACGACCGCAAGGUUGAAACUCAAAGGAAUUGACGGGGGCCCGCACAAGCGGUGGAGCAUGUGGUUUAAUUCGAAGCAACGCGAAGAACCUUACCAGGUCUUGACAUCUUUUGAUCACCUGAGAGAUCAGGUUUCCCCUUCGGGGGCAAAAUGACAGGUGGUGCAUGGUUGUCGUCAGCUCGUGUCGUGAGAUGUUGGGUUAAGUCCCGCAACGAGCGCAACCCUUAUGACUAGUUGCCAGCAUUUAGUUGGGCACUCUAGUAAGACUGCCGGUGACAAACCGGAGGAAGGUGGGGAUGACGUCAAAUCAUCAUGCCCCUUAUGACCUGGGCUACACACGUGCUACAAUGGAUGGUACAACGAGUUGCGAGACCGCGAGGUCAAGCUAAUCUCUUAAAGCCAUUCUCAGUUCGGACUGUAGGCUGCAACUCGCCUACACGAAGUCGGAAUCGCUAGUAAUCGCGGAUCAGCACGCCGCGGUGAAUACGUUCCCGGGCCUUGUACACACCGCCCGUCACACCAUGAGAGUUUGUAACACCCGAAGCCGGUGGCGUAACCCUUUAGGGAGCGAGCCGUUUAAGGGGACAAAAUGG